CUACGGGUCGCAGCAGUGGGGAAUAUUGGACAAUGGGCGCAAGCCUGAUCCAGCAAUGCCGCGUGAGUGAAGACGGCCUUAGGGUUGUAAAACUCUUUCGCUAGGGAAGAUAAUGACUGUACCUAGUAAAGAAGUCCCGGCUAACUCCGUGCCAGCAGCCGCGGUAAUACGGAGGGGACUAGCGUUGUUCGGAAUUACUGGGCGUAAAGAGUUCGUAGGCGGACUGACAAGUUAGAGGUGAAAUCCCAGGGCUCAACCCUGGAACUGCCUUUAAACUGUCAGUCUAGAGACCGGAAGAGGUUAGGGGAAUACCUAGUGUAGAGGUGAUAUUCGUAGAUAUUAGGUGGAACACCAGUGGCGAAGGCGCCUAACUGGUCCGGUACUGACGCUGAGGAACGAAAGCGUGGGGAGCAAACAGGAUUAGAUACCCCGGUAGUC
Molecule: ribosomal RNA, 438 nt
Filed under: uncultured bacterium
Lineage: Bacteria
Description: partial 16S ribosomal RNA
Rfam family: Bacterial small subunit ribosomal RNA
Source: RNAcentral